RNA transcript from Conger conger (European conger), 4413 nucleotides. It is a transcript of the gene named rap1 GTPase-activating protein 2-like, with no coding region annotated. The record is from RefSeq and is a predicted model, not a curated record. NCBI's taxonomy places the organism in Eukaryota, Metazoa, Chordata, Actinopteri, Anguilliformes, Congridae. The transcript is spliced from 25 exons.
CCUCCAUCCCUCUGGCUUAGGCACGCUGGUGGAAAGUGAAUCCCGCUCCGGAGGAAGACUCGGACCGCGGGGCGAGAGAAGGGGAUGGCUUCGCGGAGGCAGCGCACCAAGGCUCGCUGGGAGCUGGUGAGGUGGUACGUCCGAGAGGGAAAAUAUAAAGUGGAGGAGCGCACAUUGUCUGCGUUCCAGUGGCUCUACUCGCCCUACCAACAUCGCAUCUCCAACCGUGCGGACAGGCAGUCACCGGACAGGAUUGACAAGUCCACACUCAGUGCCCUGAAAGGCAGGAAGCAGGAGAUGCUCACUAUCUCGAACGUGCCCCUGGGGGAGUGCCCUCCCUCGCCCCCCCGGACCGCCCCACCCACCAUGAAGUCUGCAGAAUUCUUUGACAUGCUGGAGAAGAUGGAGGUCCCAAAAGCGGAGGAGCCGCGGACAGGCCCACAGAGGCAUAAGGAUGACUACAUUCCCUACCCCAGGAUAGAGGAGGUCCUGGACAAGGGCGGCCCGUUCCCCCAGGUCAUCCUGCCCCAGUUCGGGGGGUACUGGAUCGAGGACGCAGAGGCUCUCGCUGGAACGCCCAUCUCCACAGACAGCAGCUUCUGCGACGAGGACGAUGGGGGCGGGAUGAGCCCCAGCGGGCCUUACGGCUUUCGGCUGGAGUGCAACAGCACGGCUCGGGCCUACCGCCGCCACUUCCUGGGCAGGGAGCACAUGAACUACUACUGCACAGGCAGCAGCCUAGGGAAUCUCAUCCUGUCCCUGAAGCACGAGGAGGCAGACAGCCAGGAGUACCUGCGCAUCAUUCUCAGGUCACGGACAAAGACAAUCUAUGACAGGAUCUCUCUGGCGGGAUUGCCACAGCUCCCCAGUGUCCCACAGAUAGCCAAGCUGCUGUGUGAUGAUGUCACAGGCCUAAAAUUCAGUCCAAUUCUAUACCCCAGGGGUUCACAGUUGAUUGUCAGCUUUGAUGAACAUGAAAUUAACAACACCUUCAAGUUCGGCGUCAUCUAUCAGAAGUUUGGCCAGACAUCAGAGGAGGAGCUGUUUGGGAACAACGAGGAGACGCCGGCUUUCACAGAGUUCCUGAACAUGCUCGGGGACUGUGUUGAGCUGCAGGACUUUAAGGGUUUCAGAGGAGGGCUUGAUGUGUCCCACGGUCAGACCGGCUCUCAGUCCGUCUACACGGUCUUCCGGGACAGAGAGCUCAUGUUCCACGUCUCCACCAAGCUGCCGUACACAGAGGGAGAUCCACAGCAGCUUCAGAGGAAGAGGCACAUUGGGAAUGACAUUGUGGCAGCGGUUUUCCAGGAAGAGCCAACACCAUUUGUGCCGGACAUGAUUGCCUCCAACUUCCUCCAUGCUUACAUCCUGGUCCAGGUGGAAAACCCCUGUACAGAGCACACUACCUACAAGGUGUCUGUUACCGCCCGGGAGGACGUGCCAACCUUCGGCCCGCCACUCCCGAACCCGGCUGUCUUCAAAAAGGGCCCCGAGUUCCGGGAGUUCUUACUGACUAAGCUGAUAAACGCGGAGAACGCCUGCUACAAGUCGGACAGAUUUGCCAAGCUGGAGGGACGGACGCGGGCUGCCCUUCUGGAUAACCUUCAUGACGAGGUGCACAGACAGACGCAGGCCAUGAUGGGGCUGGGUCUGGGCUCAGACGAGGAGAAGCUGGAGAACGGCAGUCACGGGGGACUGCUCGAGUCCUUCAAGCGGGCAAUGCGGGUGCGCAGUCACUCCAUGGAGACCAUGGUGGGGUCACAUCGCCACCGGAGCCCAGGAGGGGGGGCGGGCGGGGUGCCGGCCAGCCUGAGUGGGGGGGUGGUGACUCAGACCAGCGCGGAGUGCACCAAGAGCACCUACACUCCUCCAGCACUGUCUGCUAAGUCACCCCUGAAGAGCCCAGUGAAGCGAAGAUCAGGACUUUUUCCUCGACUGCAUUCCAGCACAGAUAGCCAGACAGACAGACAUUCACGCAGUGAGCAAAGGAUUUCAGACAGCAGUCAUCUGUCACAGGAAGUGAGGUCAGAGCCCUCGUCAAACCCUAGCUCCCCAGAGAUCUGCCCAAACAAGGAAAGGCCGUUCAUCAAGCUGAAAGACUGCAGCAGUCGAGCCAACAUCUCCCGCUCGUCCUCCAGCACCAGCAGCUUCAGCAGUGCCACUGGCGAGGGGGAGGCCCUGGAGGAGAUGGACACUGUGAGCACCACGACCAUCCAACCGCCCGUGACCUACCCCCCCGUGUACAGCCCCUCCCUCAGUGUGGAGAGCCAAGGUUCUGGAACCCCCGUAAUCAUGUGCCGCAGCCCCACAGGUAACCCUGUCAGCCAGGCCUGCCCCUGUCGCCCAUAUCACUCAACUGGACUGUUCUCCUGCACUACUUGAAGAGCAAAACAUCUCCAAGAUCCAACUUGAAGUUCCGCUUUGACAAGCUGAGCCACUCUACUGCACAGUAGCAGCUGUCUGAAGGCCAGGUGAAGAUCUGAGAGGUGGCUAUGGAGUGAGGGGAAGAGACCAUGUGCUGAAGUGGAUGACAUCCUCCAUUAACAUCAUCAUCAAAUGAACUGAGUCUUUCCAGGUUUCGGAGGAAGGGGAAGGAAAGGUGUCCCAAAAAAAGACAACUUUACGGAGAGGUGGCGAGUGAUCCUUAAAGCUUCAUUCACUGGGAAGCAAAGGAGGAGGACAGAGCUGAGAAGAAAGAAGAUUGUCUGUAACAGUCUCAUUCCCUUUCCCAAGCAUUUUGCACAUUCCAAGAGAACUGCCCCCUUGCCUAUCCAAUGCACAAGAACACAUGCACGUAAAUGCAUAUAAUUGUACAUGCAUGUGCCCACAUUCAUUCACAUGCACAAACACAUGUAAACACACACACAGCUACAAAAAAAGUUGAAAUUCAUAUUAAUUGGACAUGCUUGGCAAUCAGUUGGACCCCAUUACUUCCUUCCCCCUCCAAUGAAAACCAGCUCAGUCCUUGCAGGUCUCAUCAUCACCAGGGUUAAUGAAAUUAGCAUAAACAUAAAUAUGUUUUUAAAAUAUAUAAAUGAAACAGAGGAGCUCCACCGACCAUGUUAAAACCUACUCCAUGACUGGUGGAGCUCCAUUCUGUUUUAAAGUAAAUUGUCUGUCUUACCCCUAUUUCAUUAUGCAGGGUGAAUAGAGCAUUGAUCCUGCCUCCAUGUCACCUAUACUGCUCCACCUGCCCUGUGUUUCAAGCCACUGUCACAUUGUCACUCACUGCCCAAAAGCACAUUAAUGGGAAGGUUUUUUUUUUCCAUUCAGGAAGUUUCUUCUCCACUGCCAGUGGUACUCUGCCUUGUUCAUAAUAUGGUUUCAACAAGUGGAAAUGCACUAUAUGUACAGUAUAUCGGAUCAGUUAAAGAGAAGAAAGGUUCUGGAGAAAACACCUAAAAAUGACAAUGAAUGGAACAAUGGUCCCUUCCUUUCAUUUUUCAUUGUUGUUAUUAAAACCUGACUGAUCUCUAGCUGCUCCCGAAACAUAAUAACACAGGUGGACACCCUGCCUCACCCAUGGUACGAUCCUACCAUAUAAGCUCUUAUACCUGUUGGUAUACUGUAAUAGAGAUGUGUCUUGGUAAGCAUUUCACAUAUAUUGAGAAACAAGUAAUGACUACUAAUAGGGUCCAGCAACUGCACAGUACAAGUCUGCACAAAAAGGAAUACAGCGCUCAACUUAAGCAUCUGAAAUCUACUUAUUUGUGAAGUGUAGACAGUGCCCGGGCAGAUAUUUUAUGGAAUCCUGUGGAAAAAGGAUAUGUGAGAAUGUUAAGUCUUAAGUACAGCAGAAAAAACUUUGGAUUUUAGAAAAUCACCCAUUUCAAAUGUACUCAUUACAACUCAUCAACCCAUAAUGGCUUUUGCCAUCUGUCAAAAAGCUAUUACUGUAACAGGAAUAAAAACAAUGUUUUUUUUUUAAGUGUCCUUAUUGGAAACGUAAAAAUUCCCUUCAGAAAUGGUGAUUUGAGGUGAACUUGAGAAAUGAAAAAUAGUCAUUACAAGUAAAAGUAAGUUAUUCCUCAAAGGGACAAUGCCCAAAAAGCGAUGUUGGUACUCAACAGAUUGUUUCUCGAAGAUGUACAGAAUCCAGGUUCUACUGUCAGAAAUGUUUAAAGAAAAUAAAACAAGAAAUGUUGCUGUUAUAGUUUUGUUUAUCUUAUAGUUUGAAGCUUGUCAGUGCCCCUCAGUCUACAUUCUGUUGUUAGAAAUAAUUUAUUGCUAUUUUAGCAAAUAGCCUUUUAUGUUGUUGUAAUGUAUAAAUGAAAUAAUAAAGUACAUAUAUGAAUUAAAAUAAAAAGAAAUAUAAGGUUAAUUAUUUAAAGAGAAUAAAUCUUGUAUAUGUAUAUUUGGUUAAGUUAUGUGUCUUGCCGAUUUGCUAAAUAAAAUGUUGUAUUUUGUGUCAAA